UUGCUUUGAUAGCACAUACACUAAAAUUGGAAUGAUACAAAGAUUGGUGUGUCCCCUGAGCAAGGAUGACAUGCAAAUUCAUGAAGCAUUCCAUAAUUUU
This 100-nucleotide small nuclear RNA is filed under the name Zalophus californianus (California sea lion). Lineage: Eukaryota; Metazoa; Chordata; Mammalia; Carnivora; Otariidae. RNAcentral also lists the same sequence under 2 other names. The record is from RNAcentral.